Long non-coding RNA from Bufo bufo (common toad), 197 nucleotides. RefSeq lists it as uncharacterized. The transcript has 3 exons. Lineage: Eukaryota; Metazoa; Chordata; Amphibia; Anura; Bufonidae. The record is from RefSeq and is a predicted model, not a curated record.
UCGAUUUGCAGGGUAAUUGUUUGGCUUACCCACCCAGACGAAACUCCGGCCGUCUGCUUAAGCCGCUGCUGCUCGCUCUCGGCGUCCCCGCUCUCCGGCGUUUGACACGUGAUGUACCAGAGUUAUCGCGGGAUUUGGGAGUUUCAAUCCGAAGAUCUAAUGAGAGCUGCAGAGUAGAUAAAAAUUGGAGCGCUCCA